Molecule: ribosomal RNA, 496 nt
Filed under: uncultured bacterium
Lineage: Bacteria
Description: partial 16S ribosomal RNA
Rfam family: Bacterial small subunit ribosomal RNA
Source: RNAcentral
ACGAACGCUGGCGGCGUGCCUAAUACAUGCAAGUUGAGCGCUGAAGGUUGGUACUUGUACCAACUGGAUGAGCAGCGAACGGGUGAGUAACGCGUGGGGAAUCUGCCUUUGAGCGGGGGACAACAUUUGGAAACGAAUGCUAAUACCGCAUAAAAACUUUAAACACAAGUUUUAAGUUUGAAAGAUGCAAUUGCAUCACUCAAAGAUGAUCCCGCGUUGUAUUAGCUAGUUGGUGAGGUAAAGGCUCACCAAGGCGAUGAUACAUAGCCGACCUGAGAGGGUGAUCGGCCACAUUGGGACUGAGACACGGCCCAAACUCCUACGGGAGGCAGCAGUAGGGAAUCUUCGGCAAUGGACGAAAGUCUGACCGAGCAACGCCGCGUGAGUGAAGAAGGUUGUCGGAUCGUAAAACUCGGUUGGUAGAGAAGAACGUUGGUGAGAGUGGAAAGCUCAUCAAGUGACGGUAACUACCCAGAAAGGGACGGCUAACUACGUG